AUCCUGGCUCAGGAUGAACGCUGGCGGCGUGCCUAACACAUGCAAGUCGAGCGGAGAUACAUGUCUAGGAGGCUUCGGCCAAAUUAAUUGUAUCUUAGCGGCGGAUGGGUGAGGAACACGUGGAGAACCUGCCCUUCACAGGGGGAUAACAGUUGGAAACGACUGUUAAUACCGCAUAUGCUCACAGUGCCGCAUGGCACAGGGAGGAAAGCCGAGGCGGUGAAGGAUGGCUCCGCGCCGGAUUAGCCAGUUGGCGGGGUAACGGCCCACCAAAGCGAUGAUCCGUAGCCGGCCUGAGAGGGCGACCGGCCACAUUGGGACUGAGACACGGCCCAAACUCCUACGGGAGGCAGCAGGUGGGGGAUAUUGCACAAUGGGGGGAACCCUGAUGCAGCGACGCCCGCGUGAAGGAGGAAGUGCUUCGGCAUGUAAACUUCUAUCAGCAGGGAAGAAGAUGACGGUACCUGCACAAGAAGCCCCGGCUAACUACGUGCCAGCAGCAGC
This 504-nucleotide ribosomal RNA is filed under the name uncultured bacterium. Its description in RNAcentral is "bacterial SSU rRNA". It matches the Rfam family "Bacterial small subunit ribosomal RNA", at positions 16 to 518 of the family's 1533-position model. The record is from RNAcentral.